This 361-nucleotide long non-coding RNA is filed under the name Mytilus galloprovincialis (Mediterranean mussel). Lineage: Eukaryota; Metazoa; Mollusca; Bivalvia; Mytilida; Mytilidae. The record is from RNAcentral.
UUUUUUUCAGUCACAAUCGAAUGUCUCUGGUCAUUUCAUGUCUGAAUUAAGAGUGUUGCUAUACUGGGGACAACACUUUGAUGUAUCAUUUAAUAUGUAUUAUAUAGAGAAUAAUACAUGGCAAAAUCCGUAUCAUAUGCCGUAUCAUCCCGAGAUACCAAUAUCAGCCAGAAGGCCUUUAAGCCCGAUGGAUGAUAUUGGUCGAGGGUGAUAGGCAUGUGAUACGGAUUUUGCCAUGUCUUAUGUUUUCGUCCCCGAGGGUAUCACCAGCCCAGUAGUCAGCACUUCGGUGUUGACAUGAAUAUCAAUUAUGUGGUCAUAAAACUUAAAAUUUUUCGUAAAACUAAGGAUUGUCCCAGGA